RNAcentral lists this unclassified non-coding RNA (821 nucleotides) under Hevea brasiliensis (rubber tree). Lineage: Eukaryota; Viridiplantae; Streptophyta; Magnoliopsida; Malpighiales; Euphorbiaceae. The record is from RNAcentral.
AAAGGAUGCAAAAGAAUCAUUAUUCCUACAGGCCCAGGCAAGAGAGAUUGAAGAACUCCACAAGAAAGUGUCGGAACUGGUUGAGGCGAAGGAGCAACUGGAGCUCCGGAACCAGAAAUUGGCAGAAGAGAGUAUGUAUGCCAAAGGGCUAGCGUCUGCAGCAGCUGUUGAAUUGAAGGCACUUUCUGAAGAAGUUGCGAAGCUAAUGAAUCAUAAUGAGAAAUUAGCUGCUGAGCUAGCCACCACCCAGAAGAGUUCCUCUACCCAGCGUAAGCCAAGUGUUGCCAUGCGAAAUGGAAGAAGAGAUCCUCAUCCGAGACGAAAUGAGCAAAAUGUAUUGAGUGCAGAAAUGAAAAGAGAACUUGCUUUGAGCCGGGAAAGGGAGCUUUCAUAUGAAGCUGCUCUUGUGGAAAGGGAUCAGAAAGAAGCUGAAUUACAGAGUAAGGUUGAAGAAUCCAAACAAAGAGAAGCCUAUCUUGAAAACGAACUGGCAAAUAUGUGGGUUCAAAUUGCAAAAUUAAAGAAGUUUCAGGGAGUUGAAUCUGAUCCUUCUGAAUCAACCAUAUCAGAAAGCCAAAGAAUUGAUGGUUUUGAGGUUUGGGAUAGCGUUGUGCAGUCUAGUAGGCGUCAGUGAGGGAUGUUUGUACUUAGAAGCAAGGGUGAGUUGUGAUUGUAUGAUAGUUUAGUAGGUUUGUUGCAGAUUAGGAGGGCCAUUCUGUUUUUCCCCUUUUGCCACUGUAGGUAAAUUAGUCGUGAGGGACUCCCUGCAUUGUUUUGUGCAUGUUGUGAACUUACUGCUCUUGUACAGUGGUUGAUGUUUG